CGCUGGCGGCGUGCUUAACACAUGCAAGUCGAACGGAAAGGCCCUGCUUUUGUGGGGUGCUCGAGUGGCGAACGGGUGAGUAACACGUGAGUAACCUGCCCUUGACUUUGGGGAUAACUUCAGGAAAACUGGGGCUAAUACCGGAUAGGAGCUCCUGCUGCAUGGUGGGGGUUGGAAAGUUUCGGCGGUUGGGGAUGGACUCGCGGCUUAUCAGCUUGUUGGUGGGGUAGUGGCUUACCAAGGCUUUGACGGGUAGCCGGCCUGAGAGGGUGACCGGCCACAUUGGGACUGAGAUACGGCCCAGACUCCUACGGGAGGCAGCAGUGGGGAAUAUUGCACAAUGGGCGGAAGCCUGAUGCAGCAACGCCGCGUGCGGGAUGACGGCCUUCGGGUUGUAAACCGCUUUCGCCUGUGACGAAGCGUGAGUGACGGUAAUGGGUAAAGAAGCACCGGCUAACUACGUG
This 464-nucleotide ribosomal RNA is filed under the name uncultured bacterium. Its description in RNAcentral is "bacterial SSU rRNA". It matches the Rfam family "Bacterial small subunit ribosomal RNA", at positions 34 to 507 of the family's 1533-position model. The record is from RNAcentral.